RNAcentral lists this ribosomal RNA (913 nucleotides) under Sydowia polyspora. Its description in RNAcentral is "LSU rRNA". It matches the Rfam family "Eukaryotic large subunit ribosomal RNA", at positions 37 to 965 of the family's 3401-position model. The record is from RNAcentral. Lineage: Eukaryota; Fungi; Ascomycota; Dothideomycetes; Dothideales; Dothioraceae.
AGCAUAUCAAUAAGCGGAGGAAAAGAAACCAACAGGGAUUGCCCUAGUAACGGCGAGUGAAGCGGCAAUAGCUCAAAUUUGAAAGCUGGCCUUUGGUCCGCAUUGUAAUUUGUAGAGGAUGCUUUUAGGCAGCCGCCGGUCUAAGUUCCUUGGAACAGGACGUCAUAGAGGGUGAGAAUCCCGUAUGUGACCGGCUCAGGCACCUUCUGUAAAGCUCCUUCGACGAGUCGAGUUGUUUGGGAAUGCAGCUCUAAAUGGGAGGUAAAUUUCUUCUAAAGCUAAAUACUGGCGAGAGACCGAUAGCGCACAAGUAGAGUGAUCGAAAGAUGAAAAGUACUUUGGAAAGAGAGUUAAAAAGCACGUGAAAUUGUUGAAAGGGAAGCGCUUGCAAUCAGACUUGGCCUCGGUUGUUCAACCGGUCUUUUGACCGGCCUAUUCAAUCGGGGGCAGGCCAGCAUCAGUUUCGGCGGCCGGAUAAAGGCCUUGGGAAUGUGGCCUCUCCUUCGGGGGAGGUGUUAUAGCCCAGGGUGUAAUACGGUCAGCUGGGACUGAGGUCCGCGCUUCGGCUAGGAUGCUGGCGUAAUGGUUGUAAGCGGCCCGUCUUGAAACACGGACCAAGGAGUCUAACAUCUAUGCGAGUGUUAGGGUGUCAAACCCUUACGCGUAAUGAAAGUGAACGGAGGUGGGAACCCGCAAGGGUGCACCAUCGACCGAUCCUGAUGUCUUCGGAUGGAUUUGAGUAAGAGCAUAGCUGUUGGGACCCGAAAGAUGGUGAACUAUGCCUGAAUAGGGUGAAGCCAGAGGAAACUCUGGUGGAGGCUCGCAGCGGUUCUGACGUGCAAAUCGAUGCGUCAAAUUUGGGUAUAGGGGGCGAAAGACUAAUCGAACCAUCUAGUAGCUGGUUCCUGCCGAA